AACGAACGCUGGCGGCAUGCCUAACACAUGCAAGUCGAACGAGACCUUCGGGUCUAGUGGCGCACGGGUGCGUAACGCGUGGGAACCUGCCCUUAGGUUCGGAAUAACUCCCCGAAAGGGGUGCUAAUACCGGAUAAUGUCUUCGGACCAAAGAUUUAUCGCCUUUGGAUGGGCCCGCGUUGGAUUAGCUAGUUGGUAGGGUAAAAGCCUACCAAGGCGACGAUCCAUAGCUGGUCUGAGAGGAUGAUCAGCCACACUGGGACUGAGACACGGCCCAGACUCCUACGGGAGGCAGCAGUGGAGAAUAUUGGACAAUGGGCGAAAGCCUGAUCCAGCAAUGCCGCGUGAGUGAUGAAGGCCUUAGGGUUGUAAAGCUCUUUUACCCGGGAUGAUAACUACAGUACCGGGAGAAUAAGCUCCGGCUAACUCCGUG
RNAcentral lists this ribosomal RNA (433 nucleotides) under uncultured bacterium. Its description in RNAcentral is "partial 16S ribosomal RNA". It matches the Rfam family "Bacterial small subunit ribosomal RNA", at positions 29 to 507 of the family's 1533-position model. The record is from RNAcentral.